UAACACAGAUACCCAGUGGUCGCCUGGAUGGAGUGAUACAGAGAGGGAGAGAACCAGCACACAGUGCUUUGCCGGGCAGAAACUAGAGCCUUAAUAAGGUGAUGGGUACUAUCACAUACGUCAUCCAAAGGAGCCUGGCGAUCUGGUGUCUCCGGCGGAAUGACGUCAGCAUUACAGCGCCGUGGAAUGGCGGCGGGAAGGUGCACGGGGUGUUUUUUCAAUAAAAGAAUCCCUGUGCUGUGAGCUGAUUCUAUCUGAGCUUUGGAGGAUCAAAUACCCCCCCGUGACGUGUCGUCACCCUUUAAGUGUUCCGACCCCCAGGCUGUGAACAAUAGACGGAAGACAACAGCUUUUGAUGUGCUUGCCAUAUUUACUCAUAUGGUACGCUUAAUACCUACAUGAAUGUUGUCGUGACAGAGA
Pseudophryne corroboree (corroboree frog) is the source of this 420-nucleotide long non-coding RNA. RefSeq lists it as uncharacterized. NCBI's taxonomy places the organism in Eukaryota, Metazoa, Chordata, Amphibia, Anura, Myobatrachidae. The transcript has 3 exons. The record is from RefSeq and is a predicted model, not a curated record.